GUCGAACGAUGAAACUUAGUAGACUUCUUCGGAAUGACACUAAGCGAAUUAGUGGCGAACGGGUGAGUAACGCGUGAGUAACCUGCCUUACACAAGGGGAUAGCCUUUGGAAACGAAGAAUAAUACCCUAUAAAACUAUAAAAGCACAUGCUAGAAUGGUCAAAGUGCUAGCGGUGUAAGAUGGACUUGCGUCUGAUUAGCUAGUUGGUGAGAUAAAAGCUCACCAAGGCAACGAUCAGUAGCCGGCUUGAGAGAGUGUACGGCCACAUUGGGACUGAGACACGGCCCAGACUCCUACGGGAGGCAGCAGUGGGGAAUUUUGCACAAUGGGGGAAACCCUGAUGCAGCGACGCCGCGUGAUUUAGAAGGCCUUCGGGUUGUAAAAAUCUUUUGUAUAGGAAGAAAAUGACAGUACUAUACGAAUAAGGUCCGGCUAAUUACGUGCCAGCAGCCGCGGUAAUACGUAAGGACCGAGCGUUGUCCGGAAUCAUUGGGCGUAAAGGGUACGUAGGCGGCUAGAAAAGUUAGAAGUCAAAGGCUAUAGCUCAACUAUAGUAAGCUUCUAAAACUAUUUAGCUUGAGAAAUGGAAGGGAAAGUGGAAUUCCUAGUGUAGCGGUGGAAUGCGCAGAUAUUAGGAAGAAUACCGGUGGCGAAGGCGACUUUCUGGCCAUUAUCUGACGCUGAGGUACGAAAGCGUGGGUAGCAAACAGGAUUAG
Molecule: ribosomal RNA, 717 nt
Filed under: uncultured Eubacteriales bacterium
Lineage: Bacteria; Bacillati; Bacillota; Clostridia; Eubacteriales
Description: bacterial SSU rRNA
Rfam family: Bacterial small subunit ribosomal RNA
Source: RNAcentral